Molecule: ribosomal RNA, 1372 nt
Filed under: uncultured bacterium
Lineage: Bacteria
Description: bacterial SSU rRNA
Rfam family: Bacterial small subunit ribosomal RNA
Source: RNAcentral
GAUGAACGCUGGCGGCGUGCCUAAUACAUGCAAGUCGAGCGAACGGACGAGAAGCUUGCUUCUCUGAUGUUAGCGGCGGACGGGUGAGUAACACGUGGAUAACCUACCUAUAAGACUGGGAUAACUUCGGGAAACCGGAGCUAAUACCGGAUAAUAUUUUGAACCGCAUGGUUCAAAAGUGAAAGACGGUCUUGCUGUCACUUAUAGAUGGAUCCGCGCUGCAUUAGCUAGUUGGUAAGGUAACGGCUUACCAAGGCAACGAUGCAUAGCCGACCUGAGAGGGUGAUCGGCCACACUGGAACUGAGACACGGUCCAGACUCCUACGGGAGGCAGCAGUAGGGAAUCUUCCGCAAUGGGCGAAAGCCUGACGGAGCAACGCCGCGUGAGUGAUGAAGGUCUUCGGAUCGUAAAACUCUGUUAUUAGGGAAGAACAUAUGUGUAAGUAACUGUGCACAUCUUGACGGUACCUAAUCAGAAAGCCACGGCUAACUACGUGCCAGCAGCCGCGGUAAUACGUAGGUGGCAAGCGUUAUCCGGAAUUAUUGGGCGUAAAGCGCGCGUAGGCGGUUUUUUAAGUCUGAUGUGAAAGCCCACGGCUCAACCGUGGAGGGUCAUUGGAAACUGGAAAACUUGAGUGCAGAAGAGGAAAGUGGAAUUCCAUGUGUAGCGGUGAAAUGCGCAGAGAUAUGGAGGAACACCAGUGGCGAAGGCGACUUUCUGGUCUGUAACUGACGCUGAUGUGCGAAAGCGUGGGGAUCAAACAGGAUUAGAUACCCUGGUAGUCCACGCCGUAAACGAUGAGUGCUAAGUGUUAGGGGGUUUCCGCCCCUUAGUGCUGCAGCUAACGCAUUAAGCACUCCGCCUGGGGAGUACGACCGCAAGGUUGAAACUCAAAGGAAUUGACGGGGACCCGCACAAGCGGUGGAGCAUGUGGUUUAAUUCGAAGCAACGCGAAGAACCUUACCAAAUCUUGACAUCCUUUGACAACUCUAGAGAUAGAGCCUUCCUCUUCGGGGGACAAAGUGACAGGUGGUGCAUGGUUGUCGUCAGCUCGUGUCGUGAGAUGUUGGGUUAAGUCCCGCAACGAGCGCAACCCUUAAGCUUAGUUGCCAUCAUUAAGUUGGGCACUCUAAGUUGACUGCCGGUGACAAACCGGAGGAAGGUGGGGAUGACGUCAAAUCAUCAUGCCCCUUAUGAUUUGGGCUACACACGUGCUACAAUGGACAAUACAAAGGGCAGCGAAACCGCGAGGUCAAGCAAAUCCCAUAAAGUUGUUCUCAGUUCGGACUGUAGUCUGCAACUCGACUACAUGAAGCUGGAAUCGCUAGUAAUCGUAGAUCAGCAUGCUACGGUGAAUACGUUCCCGGGUCU